Molecule: ribosomal RNA, 253 nt
Filed under: uncultured bacterium
Lineage: Bacteria
Description: partial 16S ribosomal RNA
Rfam family: Bacterial small subunit ribosomal RNA
Source: RNAcentral
UACGUAGGGGGCAAGCGUUGUCCGGAAUCAUUGGGCGUAAAGAGCGUGUAGGCGGCUCGGUAAGUCCGCUCUGAAAGCCCGGGGCUCAAUCCCGGGAGGCGGGCGGAUACUGUCGGGCUAGAGUCCGGAAGAGGCGAGUGGAAUUCCUGGUGUAGCGGUGAAAUGCGCAGAUAUCAGGAGGAACACCAAUGGCGAAGGCAGCUCGCUGGGACGGUACUGACGCUGAGACGCGAAAGCGUGGGGAGCAAACAGG